This is a long non-coding RNA of Ipomoea nil (Japanese morning glory), 95 nucleotides long. RefSeq lists it as uncharacterized. The transcript is spliced from 3 exons. Lineage: Eukaryota; Viridiplantae; Streptophyta; Magnoliopsida; Solanales; Convolvulaceae. The record is from RefSeq and is a predicted model, not a curated record.
GCGGGGUGUCCAUCUUUAUGGGUGAGGUGUUGGUCCAAUAAGAAUAAUGGAAUUCUAUUGGGCUAAAGAAAGAAGGAACAAACUAUAAUUUCUUU